RNAcentral lists this ribosomal RNA (301 nucleotides) under uncultured bacterium. RNAcentral describes it as "partial 16S ribosomal RNA". It matches the Rfam family "Bacterial small subunit ribosomal RNA", at positions 509 to 807 of the family's 1533-position model. The record is from RNAcentral.
CAGUCGCCCGGGAAUACGUAGGGUGCGAGCGUUGUCCGGAAUUAUUGGGCGUAAAGAGCUCGUAGGCGGUGUGUCACGUCGGCCGUGAAAACCUGGGGCUCAACUCUGGGCGUGCGGUCGAUACGGGCAUCACUUGAGUUCGGCAGGGGAGACUGGAAUUCCUGGUGUAGCGGUGAAAUGCGCAGAUAUCAGGAGGAACACCGGCGGCGAAGGCGGGCCUCUGGGCCGAUACUGACGCUGAGGAGCGAAAGCAUGGGUAGCGAACAGGAUUAGAUACCCCGGUAGUCCCUGUCUCUUAUAC